RNAcentral lists this transfer RNA (72 nucleotides) under Mycobacteriaceae bacterium 1482268.1. RNAcentral describes it as "tRNA-Val". It matches the Rfam family "tRNA". From Rfam's summary of the family: Transfer RNA (tRNA) molecules are approximately 80 nucleotides in length. Their secondary structure includes four short double-helical elements and three loops (D, anti-codon, and T loops). Lineage: Bacteria; Bacillati; Actinomycetota; Actinomycetes; Mycobacteriales; Mycobacteriaceae. The record is from RNAcentral.
GGUCUCGUAGCUCAGGGGGAGAGCGUCCGCCUCACACGCGGAAGGUCACUGGUUCAAUCCCAGUCGGGACCA